UCACCUCCAGAAAGCCUGGCUUGAUUUGUGUGGGGUCAAGUCCUGGCAUUUCUUGUUUGCUGAAAGGGCUGAAUAGUGACCUCCAAAACAUAUGUCCAGGUCCUAACCCUCAGAAGAGCCAGGAGUGAAAGCUCUGAGAAGGUGCUGUGACAUUGCCCCUUUUCACAUUGCAACAUUGGUUCCUUAUCUAUGGCAGACAGGAUGAAGCUGCUUUGGUAUAAGACGCUGUUCAGAAGGGACCAUAUAGUUCCAAAUGUUUGCUAAUGAUCUCUCUGAUAAGGGACUUGUACCUAGACUGUAAGAAGAACCCUUCUAACUCCAUUACAUCAAGACAAAUACCCCAGUUUAAAAAUAGGCAAAGGAUCUGAAUGGCCAAUCCUCCGAGGAAGGGACACAAAUGGCCGACGAGCAUAUGAAAAGAUGUUCAACAUGGCCAGUCAUCCGGGAAAUGCAAAUCAAAACCACAGUGAAACCCCACGUCGCACCCACUAGGUUGGUCCAAUCAAAACACAGGUAAUAUACAAAUGUUGACGAGAAUGCAGAGAAAUUGGAACUCUCUUGGUGGGAAUGUAAAAUGGUGCAGCUGCUUUGGAGAACAGUCUUCCUCACAUGAUUAAACCAUAGGACCAUUAUGCUUUGCCAUGUGCAUUACCACACGAGCCAGCAAGUCUACUCUUUGGUGUUUACCCAAGAGAGUUUAAGCAUAUGUCCACGUAAGAACAUGCACGUAAAUAUUUAUAGCAGCAUUGCUCAUGAGAGCCAAAAGGUGGAAACAACCCAAAUGUCCAUCGACAGACGAGCAGAGAAACAAAGUGUGGUCCAUUUCCAUCCACACAAUGGAAUACUUUUCAGCCAUAAAAAGGAACAAAGUUCUGAUACAUGCUACAGCUUCGAUCAAUAUUACGCCAGUCACAAAAGUCCGCAUAUUGUAUGAUUCCAUUCUGUGAAUGUCCAGAUUAGGGAAAUUCAUAGAGACAGAAAGUAGAUCAGUGGUUGCCAAGGACUGGAGGCUCUGGAGGGAGAGUGGGUGAUAACCAAAGGAUACAGGCCUUCUUUUUGAGAUGGUGGAAAGGCCCUAAAAAUGACAGUGGUGAUAGUUGCAUAUGUCUGUGAGGAUACUCAAAACCACCGAAGCAUACACUUUAAAUGAGAGAACUGUAUGUUGUGUGAAUUUGGUCACAAUAAACCUGUUUUAAGAAAGAGUGGCUGAGCUCUGUGACACAGAGCCCAAGUCACCGUCUAGCUUCUGACAGGUAACGAGCUGUGUCAUCACAUACAUUGAAACACAUGGGAAAUGCGCAUUUAACUGAGCUUUGCUUUUCUAGCCUAGCGUCCCGUCCCGGGAGGUCCAGCACUUCCUCUAGAACUGCACCAGGGCUAGUGUUGGCAGAUGCGGUCUGUUCAUGUCUCCAUAACCGAGGGACACGUUCAAGGGACAGACCAUGAUACACCCCCCGCCCCCCGCUCCAUCGAGCUGCACUCCACAGUGUUCCCAUGACCUUGGGAGCAGGGACUGAAAGAGUGGGAAUAUCUGGCAUAGAGAAUGGGCCUAGUUGGAGAGAAUGCGGGGUCAAGGAGGCUGUACUUAGUUGGAACUGCUGCAGCGGAGGUGCUCUGAGUUGAGGCAUGAGCAUCGGGGCUGCCAUAUGGAACAGGCAGCCCACAGGUGGAAAUAUUUCACAGGUAAAGUGGUACAGCUCGGGGGCUGACUGGAUGGGCAGGUGGGAAUACGGGGGUGGUCUUUGCAGAAGCAAAGAGAGGAUGGUUUGCGGCUCCCUGGAUACCAUGGCUCCCUAGGGGCAUCUGAAGGUAGUUGAAAAACCAAAGCCUGUGUGAGGCCAUGGGUCAGGUUGGGACCAGGGUGAGGAGGAACCUGAUGGGUGGUUCCAGUGAUCUCCUAGGUUCUGAACCACCUGUGGGAAGCUGCUGACCUCGUUCUGUGACCUCCUUAUGGGUGGUUUUUGGAAUGAUGGAGGGAAUGUAGGUGUGCCAGGGAGAUGCCUUUUUCAGCCACAGCAUUUUGGAGAGAAAGUCUCAUGGGGGCUGUGACUACCUGCCAUAGGUUCUAGGGCUUAUGUGGUGCCUUAUCCAUCAUGACGCCAGGAAAACUGGGAGGCCAUGUUCUGGGCGGUGGCAGGGGUGUAUGGCUUGUGAUGGCUUGGAGACUGGGUCUCCAGGGUUCAGACCUGAGCUGCUCCCCUGAGUUGUGCAACCUUGGGCAAAUCUCAUCCUCCUCAUUCAGUUUUCACUUUCAUUGUAGGAGUGUGGUGGUUCUCUCUUUCUAGAAAUGGGUGACAUGAUUACUGCCAUCUUCCAGGUGAAAAAACUCAGAGCCUAGGAAUUAAGUGUCUCAAUCAAAGUCACGAGGCUCACAAUGGACUCAGGACCAUUUGAGUGCUGGCAGUCAGACUCCACAGCCUGUUUCCUUAAUCGCUACACUAGUCUGUCUCUUGAUGAGGGGUAGCUACAAAAAACCCUGGGUGUCUAACUUUUGACAAAAUCCACAAUUAACUGGGUGGAUGGGUCCUGUAAGAUGACCUAGCCCUCAAUUAUUUUUGUUUUUUUUUAAAAAUAAUUUUACACAUAUAGAUUCUGAAACUCAGAGAAGUUAAGUGACUUUCCUGGAGUCACACAGAAAGUCAGCCAGACUCCUUCCUGGAACUCUACCUGACCCUCUUUGCAGCUCUCCUUCCAUCCCCCUGCUCUGACCUGCAGCGGAUUGUUUACUGAGUCCUGGUGACCCUCUCCUUCUCAAAUUCACCCUCAGAGCCCUUGGGCCACGGGGCCAGGGUCUCCUCUGGUGCUGCCCUGACGGAUGUGAAACCCAGUUUUCCAUAGCUGCAUAUUGAUGUCUUAGACAACAGCCUAGCGUUUCAGAGGAGCCUGCAUGUUACAAAAAGGGGCAGCAGGUGUUAUUUGGGCUAAAUUGACCUUGAAAUUGAUUUCUUUAUUUUAUGACUUACUGAGAGGAGAUUAAUACUUUUUUUUCCUGCAGUCUGAAACAAUUUACAUGGUAAUAGAAGGCAUAGUCAGUCAAAUAAAUUGCUGGAAGUGGUCGUGUUCCAAGGGAAAAGAAUACGGAGCUUACUCACAUUGAUUUCUUUGCCCCGGGGAGAAGCAGAGAUUUUAACAUCUGGGAAUAGGGAGCUAAAUUUUAUCUCUCAUUUUAAAAGCAAAGGACUGAGGCGCUUAAUCUGACAUUUACACGGAAUUUUCUAAGUUGGUGGAAGUGAGGGAGCCUGAGUUCCUUGCUGAAGGUUAACCGGCGUUUACUCAGAACGGCUCUGGCGGUUUGAGUCAGGGAGAGCAGGUGGGGCCCAGAUAACAUUUUCAUAAGAUGGGCCCUGGGAAGCUGGCUGCCUCGCUCCCACCUGCCGAGGAGACCAGGAGCUGAGAGGCUGCUGACAUAACCUUGCACCCAGAUCCAGGUGGGGUUGCCGAGGAGCCACGUGGCGGGGGACCCUGCUUCCCCGUUUCUGGCCUCACCCUGUGGCUCUCCUACCAGAGAUGGGGUUUGAUGUCAGCUGUCGCGGCAGCAUGCCUAGAUAGGGCAGCCUCUCCGAGUGUGUUCGGGAUGGAUUCUGAGACUGCAUCUGGGCAGGAAAAUGCAGAACUUGAUUAGUACUGCCUGCCCUGGGAACCUGAGGGGCGAUUGCGGCUUGCAUGCCACAUACUUGCAUUUCCUGGUUAAAAACAACCUUUAAAAGAAUCCCCCCAAAGCCAACAUUCCUGUAUUCAGAGUACAUUGGCAGGGCUCUUGUCCUCCCAAGCAACCCCAAAUCAUUUGACACGUUAGGCAAACUAAAUUAUUUUUCAGAAAAUGUCUAGAAAUGACUUUGGACCCAGAGGGCUUUGCUAGUAUUUAUGUGUACUAUUCCCUCAAAUUAUUUUCCUUUCAAAAUAAAAUGUUAAGAUUGUAAUUGAUAAUUCGUGCCAGACCAGAGCACACAUUUCAAGAAUGGGAGAAAUAAAAUUUUCUCUUUCCUAUUCCAUCCUGCUCAGCCAACUAGUUUCUCUCUCUAUAAUCAGCAUUGUGUUUCUCGUCUAUUCCUCUGGAGGUUGCAGUGCGUGUGAUAUAUAUGCAUGUAUUCUUAAAACAGUGACCAGACUGUGGCACGCUCUGCAUACCACACUGUGUUUUACCAUUUCCCCACCAUUCUGUAGUGAUCCACAUCAUUAUAUUUUCUAGGGGUGUCUGGAUGCAUCAUACCUUAUUUACUUGGUCUCUGAAUAAUGGAAAUUUACGUUGCUGUUGUUGUUUUGUAAUGAAAAAAAUUGCUUCAACAAAUAUCCUUGAUAUUGGCCAUUUCUCCCAUGGGCAGACACUCUAUAGCAGAGAUUCCUAGAAGUAGAAUUGCCAGUUUUGGAGUUCCCAUUGCGGUGGCUCAGCGGUAAUGAACUUGACUAGUAUCCAUAAGGAAAUGGGUUCAGUCCCUGUCCCUCUCAGUGGGUUAAGGAUCUGGCAUUGCCUUGAGCUCUGGUGUAGGUCACAGACACAGCUUGGAUCUGGUGUUGCUGUGGCUGUGGUGGAGUCCAGCAGCUAUAGCUCCAAUUCAACCCUUAGCCUGGGAACUUUCAUAUACCACAGGUGUGGCCCUAAAAAAAAAAAAAAAAAUCCAGUUUCAAUACUAUCAACUUUGGCGUUCUCUUGUGGUGCAGCAGGCAUUGUCACUGCAGCAGCUCGGGUCACUGCUAUGAUGUGGGUCCCAUCCCUGGCCCAGGAACUUUCACAAGCCAUGGACACAACCAAAAAAAAAAAAAAAAA
This 4765-nucleotide long non-coding RNA is filed under the name Sus scrofa (pig). RNAcentral describes it as "lncRNA (ENSSSCG00005034582.1)". Lineage: Eukaryota; Metazoa; Chordata; Mammalia; Artiodactyla; Suidae. The record is from RNAcentral.